This 402-nucleotide ribosomal RNA is filed under the name Bacteroidota bacterium. RNAcentral's name for it is "Bacteroidetes bacterium partial 16S ribosomal RNA". It matches the Rfam family "Bacterial small subunit ribosomal RNA", at positions 355 to 776 of the family's 1533-position model. Lineage: Bacteria; Pseudomonadati; Bacteroidota. The record is from RNAcentral.
UGGGGAAUUUUGCUCAAUGGGGGAAACCCUGAUGCAGCGACUCCGCGUGAUUUAGAAGGCCUUCGGGUUGUAAAAAUCUUUUUUAUUGGAAGAAAAUGACAGUACCAUAGGAAUAAGGACCGGCUAAUUACGUUCCAGCAGCCGCGGUAAUUCGUAAGGUCCGAGCCUUGUCCGGUAGCAUUGGGCGUAAAGGGUACGUAGGCGGGUAAGCAAGUUAGAAGUGAAAUCCUGUAGCUCAACUACAGUAAGCUUUUAAAACUGCUCAUCUUGAGAUAUGGAAGGGAAAGUGGAAUUACUAGUGUAGCGGUGAAAUGCGCAGAUAUUAGGAGGAAUACCGGUGGCGAAGGCGACUUUCUGGCCAUAAUCUGACGCUGGGGUACGAAAGCGUGGGUAGCAAACAGG